AUUGAACGCUGGCGGCAGGCCUAACACAUGCAAGUCGAGCGGAUGAAGGGAGCUUGCUCCUGGAUUCAGCGGCGGACGGGUGAGUAAUGCCUAGGAAUCUGCCUGGUAGUGGGGGAUAACGUCCGGAAACGGGCGCUAAUACCGCAUACGUCCUGAGGGAGAAAGUGGGGGAUCUUCGGACCUCACGCUAUCAGAUGAGCCUAGGUCGGAUUAGCUAGUUGGUGGGGUAAAGGCCUACCAAGGCGACGAUCCGUAACUGGUCUGAGAGGAUGAUCAGUCACACUGGAACUGAGACACGGUCCAGACUCCUACGGGAGGCAGCAGUGGGGAAUAUUGGACAAUGGGCGAAAGCCUGAUGCAGCCAUGCCGCGUGUGUGAAGAAGGUCUUCGGAUUGUAAAGCACUUUAAGUUGGGAGGAAGGGCAGUAAGUUAAUACCUUGCUGUUUUGACGUUACCAACAGAAGAAGCACCGGCUAACUUCGUG
Molecule: ribosomal RNA, 484 nt
Filed under: uncultured bacterium
Lineage: Bacteria
Description: partial 16S ribosomal RNA
Rfam family: Bacterial small subunit ribosomal RNA
Source: RNAcentral